UGAAUACGAGACGCUAAGGCGUUGAAGUAGUGUAUGUCAUACUUCCAAGAAAAGCUUGCACUGUCAUAGAUAAAAAACGCCUGUACCAUAACCGACACAGGUGGGUAGGUAGAGUAUACUAAGGGGCGCGAGAUAACUCUCUCUAAGGAACUCGGCAAAAUAACUCCGUAACUUCGGGAGAAGGAGUGCCUUAUUUAUAAGGCUGCAAUAACAAGAUCCAAGCAACUGUUUAUCAAAAACACAGGUCUCCGCUAAGUCGUAAGACGAUGUAUGGGGGCUGACGCCUGCCCAGUGCCAGAAGGUUAAAGAAGUUGGUUAGCAAUAGCGAAGCUGAUAACUGAAGCCCUGGUGAACGGCGGCCGUAACAAUAACGGUCCUAAGGUAGCGAAAUUCCUUGUCGGGUAAGUUCCGACCCGCACGAAAGGCGUAAUGAUUUGGAUACUGUCUCGGAGAGGGGCUCGGUGAAAUAGACUUGUCUGUGAAGAUGCGGACUACCUGCACCAGGACAGAAAGACCCUAUGAAGCUUUACUGUAACUUGAAAUUGAAAUUGGACUUUAUUCGCGCAGUAUAGGUGGGAGGCGUUGAUUGUAAUCUUGCGGGAUUAUUGGAGCCAUCAGUGAGAUACCACCCUUGUAAUGUUAGAUUUCUAACUUUGAAUCAUUAUCUGGUCAAAGAACAGUUUCAGGCGGGCAGUUUGACUGGGGCGGUCGCCUCCUAAACGGUAACGGAGGCGUACAAAGGUUUCCUCUGAACGGUUAGAAAUCGUAUCUAGAGUGUAAAGGCAUAAGGAAGCUUGACUGUGAGACCUACAAGUCGAGCAGGGACGAAAGUCGGUCUUAGUGAUCUGACGGUACUGAGUGGAAAGGCCGUCACUCAACGGAUAAAAGUUACUCUAAGGAUAACAGGCUGAUCUCCCCCAAGAGUUCACAUCGACGGGGAGGUUUGGCACCUCGAUGUCGGCUCAUCGCAUCCUGGGGCGGUAGUACGUCCCAAGGGUUGGGCUGUUCGCCCAUGAAAGCGGUACGCGAGCUGGGUUCAGAACGUCGUGAGACAGUUCGGUCCAUAUCCGGUGUAGGCGUUAGAAUAUUGAGAGGAGCCUUCUUUAGUACGAGAGGACCGAGGAGGACAUACCUCUGGUGUACCAGUUAUCGUGCCAACGGUAAACGCUGGGUAGCUAUGUAUGGAGUGGAUAACCGCUGAAAGCAUCUAAGUGGGAAGCCCACCUCAAGAUAAGUAUUCUCAC
Molecule: ribosomal RNA, 1244 nt
Filed under: metagenome
Description: bacterial LSU rRNA
Rfam family: Bacterial large subunit ribosomal RNA
Source: RNAcentral